Sorghum bicolor (sorghum) is the source of this 992-nucleotide long non-coding RNA. RefSeq lists it as uncharacterized. The transcript has 3 exons. NCBI's taxonomy places the organism in Eukaryota, Viridiplantae, Streptophyta, Magnoliopsida, Poales, Poaceae. The record is from RefSeq and is a predicted model, not a curated record.
CCCAUGAGCGCGGGGACGCAGCGGCGUUACGGCGGGAGGUCCUGCGCCUCGAUUCAGGCCCACGGCCACGGCCACGGCCACGGGGAUCGUCAGGAUCGAUUUAGUUUUCCUUUUCUUUUUCUUUAUCAGCUUCUCCGCUUCCAGUCUGGAGACACCGUCCCAUGGAUUUGUCUUCAACGCGUCUGAAUGCUGCUCUGGUUACCUUUGCUCUGUCAGGUCUGUAAUCUCCAACCCCAAUGAGGGACAGCUGGUGCAGUUCCCCAAUGUCUUCAGGUGCUCCUUCACCCUCCUACUCUACAGCUGUCAAUACAGGAAGAUAGAGAGCGGCAGCGACAGGAUUUUUGCUCUCAUCAGAUGUAUUUUUUGGUGCCAAAUUUGACAAAGAGGAAUACAUAAAUAUGGUAACAUCUGUAGUACGUGCUCCUAAUUGAUCACAGAGAACAUUUCCCUCCAAAGAGAGCAUAAGCGAGAAUGAUUUGGUAUUCCGAAGUCUCCUAAUGGUUCCCUGGGGCUUAACAGUGGGCUACUCUCAGAUUCUUCCUCAGCUUUAGCUUUAAAUUGCAUUACAGCAAUGUCGGUUGUGGGGAUUUCCAUGUGUACUUGGCUAUGAUGCUCAAUAGAAUUGGAAAAACCUAUAUUUUGCGCUCCCUGAAGUAAUGGAGUCACUUCACUGGCUUCUCUCCCUGGAGUUGAUGUCUGAAGAGAAUGUUGUUCCUCAGUAGCCGUAUCAACACUUGCUGUGAUUUUCACCUGAUUGCAUUGAGCAGUAAAGGCUGCAGCUGCAGUGCUUUCUGUGACUUCCUUCUGAUAGUGAUUGGCUUCAAAGGUAAAAUAUGAAGAUCUAGUGUCUAUAUCUACUUUCUCAUGGUUGAUAUCAUCAGUAGAGAUUAGGACUACAUUCGAGCUAUCUCCCACCAACUGCAUACACUUUCUAAGAAUCUCACCAUUCUCAAGUUUCAAAACCUUGUAUUUUUCAAGCAGUAUCUGCUGAG